GACGAACGCUGGCGGCGUGCUUAACACAUGCAAGUCGAACGGAAAGGCCCCCACCUUGGUGGGGGUGCUCGAGUGGCGAACGGGUGAAUAACACGUGGGUGAUCUGCCCUGUACUUCGGGAUAAGCUUGGGAAACUGGGUCUAAUACCGGAUAGGACCAUGGUUUAGUGUCUCAUGGUGGAAAAAUUAUUGUUUUGGUGCAGGAUGAGCUCGCGGCCUAUCAGCUUGUUGGUGGGGUAAUGGCCUACCAAGGCGUCGACGGGUAGCCGGCCUGAGAGGGUGGACGGCCACAUUGGGACUGAGAUACGGCCCAGACUCCUACGGGAGGCAGCAGUGGGGAAUAUUGCACAAUGGGCGCAAGCCUGAUGCAGCGACGCCGCGUGGGGGAUGACGGCCUUCGGGUUGUAAACUCCUUUCGUUAGGGACGAAGCCACACCUUUUUUGGGUGUGGUGACGGUACCUUUGUGAAGAAGCACCGGCUAACUACGUG
RNAcentral lists this ribosomal RNA (489 nucleotides) under uncultured bacterium. RNAcentral's name for it is "partial 16S ribosomal RNA". It matches the Rfam family "Bacterial small subunit ribosomal RNA", at positions 28 to 507 of the family's 1533-position model. The record is from RNAcentral.